RNAcentral lists this ribosomal RNA (433 nucleotides) under uncultured eukaryote. RNAcentral's name for it is "SSU rRNA". It matches the Rfam family "Eukaryotic small subunit ribosomal RNA", at positions 592 to 1018 of the family's 1831-position model. The record is from RNAcentral.
CAAUAGCGUAUAUUAAAGUUGUUGCAGUUAAAAAGCUCGUAGUUGGAUUUCUGUGAGAGUGCCGGUGUCGGCUGAUGCUUGUACGCAGGCGCUCUUACAUCCUUCUGUUAACUGUUCUUGGCAUUUUAUUGCUGGUUCAGGGCUCAGAUAUUUUACCUUGAGAAAAUUAGAGUGUUUCAGGCAGGCUUAUGCCGGAAUACAUUAGCAUGGAAUAAUGGAACAGGACCUGUGCGUCUCUCGGGGCGCCGGUCUCCGUUGUUGGUUUCGGGGACUAAUGUAAUGAUUAAUAGGGAUAGUUGGGGGCAUUAGUAUUUAAUAGUCAGAGGUGAAAUUCUCGGAUUUGUUAAAGACUAACUUAUGCGAAAGCAUUUGCCAAGGAUGUUUUCAUUAAUCAAGAACGAAAGUUAGGGGAUCAAAGACGAUUAGAUACCAU